GGGGAAUUUUCCGCAAUGGGCGAAAGCCUGACGGAGCAAUACCGCGUGAGGGAGGAAGGCUCUUGGGUCGUAAACCUCUUUUCUCAGGGAAGAACACAAUGACGGUACCUGAGGAAUCAGCAUCGGCUAACUCCGUGCCAGCAGCCGCGGUAAUACGGAGGAUGCAAGCGUUAUCCGGAAUCAUUGGGCGUAAAGCGUCCGCAGGUGGCUUUUCAAGUCUGCUGUCAAAGCCCGGGGCUCAACCCUGGAGAGGCAGUGGAAACUGAGGAGCUGGAGUGCGGUAGGGGCAGAGGGAAUUCCCGGUGUAGCGGUGAAAUGCGUAGAUAUCGGGAAGAACACCAGUGGCGAAGGCGCUCUGCUGGACCGUAACUGACACUCAUGGACGAAAGCUAGGGGAGCGAAUGGGAUUAGAUACCCCAG
This 420-nucleotide ribosomal RNA is filed under the name uncultured Chroococcidiopsis sp. RNAcentral's name for it is "bacterial SSU rRNA". It matches the Rfam family "Bacterial small subunit ribosomal RNA", at positions 356 to 790 of the family's 1533-position model. The record is from RNAcentral. Lineage: Bacteria; Bacillati; Cyanobacteriota; Cyanophyceae; Chroococcidiopsidales; Chroococcidiopsidaceae.